AAUUAAAAAGGGAAUUUCUCCUUCACGUCUCCUCUCCUGCUUCCCAGGAUCCUCACUCCCAGGAGGUUCCUGCUUUUAUGGUCGCUUGGAUUCUUCCCCCAGCUGCCUGUCCUUGACUUCUAGAAUGGAAGAAGCUGAGCUGGUGAAGGAGAGACUCCAGGCCAUCACAGAUAAAAGAAAAAUACAGGAAGAAAUCUCACAAAAACGUCUGAAAAUAGAGGAAGAAAAACUACAUCACCAGCAUUUGAAGAAAAAAGCCUUGAGGGAAAAAUGGCUUCUAGAUGGAAUCAGCAGUGGAAAAGAAGAAGAAGAGAUGAAGAAGCAAAAUCAACAAGAUCAGC
Long non-coding RNA from Suncus etruscus (white-toothed pygmy shrew), 341 nucleotides. RefSeq lists it as uncharacterized. The transcript is spliced from 3 exons. NCBI's taxonomy places the organism in Eukaryota, Metazoa, Chordata, Mammalia, Eulipotyphla, Soricidae. The record is from RefSeq and is a predicted model, not a curated record.